RNAcentral lists this ribosomal RNA (437 nucleotides) under uncultured bacterium. Its description in RNAcentral is "bacterial SSU rRNA". It matches the Rfam family "Bacterial small subunit ribosomal RNA", at positions 28 to 444 of the family's 1533-position model. The record is from RNAcentral.
GACGAACGCUGGCGGCGUGCUUAACACAUGCAAGUCGAACGAGAAGAGAUGAGAAGCUUGCUUCUUAUCAAUUCGAGUGGCAAACGGGUGAGUAACGCGUAAGCAACCUGCCCUUCAGAUGGGGACAACAGCUGGAAACGGCUGCUAAUACCGAAUACGUUCUUUUUGUCGCAUGGCAGAGGGAAGAAAGGGAGGCUCUUCGGAGCUUUCGCUGAAGGAGGGGCUUGCGUCUGAUUAGCUAGUUGGAGGGGUAACGGCCCACCAAGGCGACGAUCAGUAGCCGGUCUGAGAGGAUGAACGGCCACAUUGGGACUGAGACACGGCCCAGACUCCUACGGGAGGCAGCAGUGGGGAAUAUUGCACAAUGGGGGAAACCCUGAUGCAGCGACGCCGCGUGAGCGAAGAAGAUUUCGGUAUGUAAAGCUCUAUCAGCAGGG